UGCUGGAAUGCACCGAGAUUUAAAGCUCCGGCGCCUAAGGAUGGGUCUGCGGCCUAUCAGGUAGUAGUGGGUGUAGCGUACCUACUAGCCUACGACGGGUACGGGUUGUGAGAGCAAGAGCCCGGAGAUGGAUUCUGAGACACGAAUCCAGGCCCUACGGGGUGCAGCAGGCGCGAAAACUUUACAAUGCUGGCAACAGCGAUAAGGGAACCUCGAGUGCCAGGUUACAAAUCUGGCUGUCGAGAUGCCUAAAAAGCAUUUCAUAGCAAGGGCCGGGCAAGACCGGUGCCAGCCGCCGCGGUAACACCGGCGGCUCGAGUGGUAACCGUUAUUAUUGGGUCUAAAGGGUUUGUAGCCGGCCGGAUAAGUCUCUUGAGAAAUCUGGCAGCUUAACUGUCAGGCUUUCAGGAGAUACUGUCUGGCUCGAGGCCGGGAGAGGUGAGAGGUACUUCAGGGGUAGGGGUGAAAUCUUGUAAUCCUUGAAGGACCACCAGUGGCGAAGGCGUCUCACCAGAACGGACCUGACGGCAAGGGACGAAAGCUAGGGGCACGAACCGGAUUAGAUACCCGGGUAGUCCUAGCCGUAAACGAUACUCGCUAGGUGUCGGCCACGGUGCGACCGUUGUCGGUGCCGUAGGGAAGCCGUGAAGCGAGCCACCUGGGAAGUACGGCCGCAAGGCUGAAACUUAAAGGAAUUGGCGGGGGAGCACCACAACGGGUGGAGCUUGCGGUUUAAUUGGAUUCAACGCCGGAAAUCUUACCGGGACCGACAGCAAUAUGAAGGCCAGGCUGAAGACUUUGCCGGAUUAGCU
This 812-nucleotide ribosomal RNA is filed under the name uncultured Methanosaeta sp. RNAcentral's name for it is "bacterial SSU rRNA". It matches the Rfam family "Archaeal small subunit ribosomal RNA", at positions 168 to 981 of the family's 1478-position model. The record is from RNAcentral. Lineage: Archaea; Methanobacteriati; Methanobacteriota; Methanomicrobia; Methanotrichales; Methanotrichaceae.